CACAGCAAACUCUGGCCUCUCGCAACACACACUGGGAAUAGGACACGUUUUCGAUUUCUCCAGAACUAAAAUUCUGGAGAAGGUCGAGAAGGAGAACGCGAGAUGUACGACCGAGAUGAUGCACAUCAAAAUGAUGGGGACGGAGGCUGUGAACCUCCAACGGGAGUCUGCUUCUCUCUCGUCGUCGUACAAUCGGCUGCUGCUAAAACUAAAAGAGAGUCAGCCGAAAAAAUCACGGCACGACUCUCAGUUAGCUGACACGAUCCAGACACUCCAGCAGGAGUAGCCUGGCCUGGAAUAGUUUUUGUGUCUGAAGAUGGCCGAAACCAAGAAGUAGGCCGAAACGUAACGAAGAAGAAUUUUGUUUCAUUUCUCACCGAAAAACAUCAACUAAAGCCAAAAAACAAAAA
Molecule: long non-coding RNA, 410 nt
Organism: Culex quinquefasciatus (southern house mosquito)
Lineage: Eukaryota; Metazoa; Arthropoda; Insecta; Diptera; Culicidae
Exons: 2
Source: RefSeq, a predicted model, not a curated record